AGGGUUUGAUUCUGGCUCAGGAUGAACGCUGGCGGCAUGCCUAAUACAUGCAAGUCGAACGCCGGAAGGACAGAGCCUGCUCUGUCCGGAAGGAGUGGCGAACGGGUGAGUAACACGUAGACAACCUGCCUGUGAGACCGGGAUAACGGAUGGAAACGUCUGCUAAUACCGGAUAGGUAGAGAGGAGGCAUCUUCUCUCUAUUAAAGUCGGGACACGACGCUGACAGAUGGAUCUGCGGUGCAUUAGCUAGUUGGCGGGGCAACGGCCCACCAAGGCGAUGAUGCAUAGCCGGCCUGAGAGGGUGGACGGCCACAUUGGGACUGAGACACGGCCCAA
Molecule: ribosomal RNA, 337 nt
Filed under: uncultured bacterium
Lineage: Bacteria
Description: bacterial SSU rRNA
Rfam family: Bacterial small subunit ribosomal RNA
Source: RNAcentral